RNAcentral lists this long non-coding RNA (512 nucleotides) under Sorghum bicolor (sorghum). RNAcentral's name for it is "long non-coding RNA (SBIC_LNC010081)". Lineage: Eukaryota; Viridiplantae; Streptophyta; Magnoliopsida; Poales; Poaceae. The record is from RNAcentral.
CCUGUUGGGUUGAGAAUUUAUAGUACUAGCCACUUGCCCUCGGUAAGCCCGGUCUUGUGAUUCCUCGACGAGAGCGGUUACUCGCGCACUGGGCGUGGAGCGAUGGCGAGAGUAGCGUGUAGGCUCCUAGCAAAUGGGCUAGACGGUGGAGUACUGUGCUCUCGGGUGCCGCGAACCCGAUCAGAUCUUGGGAAAGCUAGAUUUGGGUUGACAUAUGCAAGAUUCGGUUCUACAUGUGUCGGGUGGUUAAGAACUCCAGCUGGAUGUUAAGUGGUUCGAAUCGUCGUUGCUCCCCGAUUGGGAGACUGAAUCGACCCCCAUCGUAGUUAAAUAUGCAACUAAGUUAUGAACUGGGGAAAAGAAAAUGUCUCAUGAAGUUCGGAUCCCAAUUCACGGACUCAGAGUGACAUGAAGCUAUGGCCGUUGGAUGAAAUAACGCUUUUAUUAAGGAUUAGGGACUCACAUGACUGUCUGUGAAAAGCAACUAGAUAGACUGUCCUCGAAUUCAUCGG